Molecule: ribosomal RNA, 184 nt
Filed under: uncultured Nitrospira sp.
Lineage: Bacteria; Pseudomonadati; Nitrospirota; Nitrospiria; Nitrospirales; Nitrospiraceae
Description: partial 16S ribosomal RNA
Rfam family: Bacterial small subunit ribosomal RNA
Source: RNAcentral
CCUACGGGAGGCAGCAGUAAGGAAUAUUGCGCAAUGGACGAAAGUCUGACGCAGCGACGCCGCGUGGGGGAUGAAGGUCUUCGGAUUGUAAACCCCUUUCGGGAGGGAAGAUGGAACGAGCAAUCGUUCGGACGGUACCUCCAGAAGCAGCCACGGCCAACUUCGUGCCAGCAGCCGCGGUAAU